UACGUAGGGUGCAAGCGUUGUCCGGAAUUAUUGGGCGUAAAGAGCUCGUAGGCGGUCUGUCGCGUCGAUCGUGAAAACUUGGGGCUUAACCCUGAGCUUGCGGUCGAUACGGGCAUGACUGGAGUUCGGCAGGGGAGACUGGAAUUCCCGGUGUAGCGGUGAAAUGCGCAGAUAUCGGGAAGAACACCCGUGGCGAAGGCGGCUCUCUGGGACGGUACUGACGCUGAGACGCGAAAGCGUGGGGAGCGAACAGG
This 254-nucleotide ribosomal RNA is filed under the name uncultured bacterium. RNAcentral's name for it is "partial 16S ribosomal RNA". It matches the Rfam family "Bacterial small subunit ribosomal RNA", at positions 524 to 776 of the family's 1533-position model. The record is from RNAcentral.